AAAUAUAGGGAUAUUGUUAGUAUUAUACUUUAUUCAUUAAUAUAUUAUGAAUAAAUUAUAGAAAAUAAAUUAUUACAUAAAAUAAAUUAUUAUAUAUAAUAAAAUAAUAUAUAUUAUUUUAAAUUAGAUUCUUACAUAAAAUAUUAUAUUAUAAAUUACUAUAUGAAAUAAUUUUAUAAAUAAUUUUAUAUAAAAUAUACUAAUAUAAAUUAAUUAUUUUAUUUUUAAAAAUAUAUUUAGACGUUGUUCUAGACUUUUUAUCCAAACGCUAUUAAGGAUAUCCUCUAGAAUAUCCUCGAAUGCAUCCAAACACAAAUUUACAAUUGUUCUAUCUUGUACCGGAAUAUUCCCUGUUCUCGGGAACAACAAAAGUUGUUCUCCAAAAUUUAGUUCUCCAACCAAACGCAGCCUUAGAGUCCACCAAAAAGAAUUUUGGAUUUUAGUAAAAGAGAAAAAUUGACAAAGCUAGAGAAAGAAUAUAGACUUUCAGCAAGUGAGUUUAUUUUUAUGGAAAGUGGAGAAAGAUUUAGCAGU
RNAcentral lists this long non-coding RNA (534 nucleotides) under Ananas comosus (pineapple). Its description in RNAcentral is "long non-coding RNA (ACOM_LNC027114)". Lineage: Eukaryota; Viridiplantae; Streptophyta; Magnoliopsida; Poales; Bromeliaceae. The record is from RNAcentral.